GUCUUCGUGGUGUAGUGGUCAGCAUGCUGGGCGCAUACUCUAGAAGUCCGUGGUUCGAGUCCCGGCGAAGGCG
Molecule: transfer RNA, 73 nt
Filed under: Stegodyphus mimosarum
Lineage: Eukaryota; Metazoa; Arthropoda; Arachnida; Araneae; Eresidae
Rfam family: tRNA
About the family: Transfer RNA (tRNA) molecules are approximately 80 nucleotides in length. Their secondary structure includes four short double-helical elements and three loops (D, anti-codon, and T loops).
Source: Rfam by way of RNAcentral